Molecule: non-coding RNA, 221 nt
Organism: Dermacentor andersoni
Lineage: Eukaryota; Metazoa; Arthropoda; Arachnida; Ixodida; Ixodidae
Source: RefSeq, a predicted model, not a curated record
AACUGGGGACAGCAAUACCGACAUGCAGUAAUGAGGAUGGCACCAGUAUAAAGCAACACACUCCAUGCACUAAACAGAAGCUGCUGCCUGCUACAACAAGGUCAUUGUGUGGACUUUGGCUGCUACUACAAGAGUCUGUGCCAAGUACAUCUUGGUCAUCACGGGAGCCCCCAUCUACACCAACAGGAAGGGGCUGGAGCUGAAUUCGCAAGACCACAAAC